UGCCAGCCGCCGCGGUAAUACGGAGGGUGCAAGCGUUAAUCGGAAUUACUGGGCGUAAAGCGCGCGUAGGCGGAUGCUUAAGUCAGAUGUGAAAGCCCUGGGCUCAACCUAGGAAUUGCACCUGAUACUGGGCGUCUAGAGUAUGGUAGAGGAUGGCGGAAUUUCCGGUGUAGCGGUGAAAUGCGUAGAUAUCGGAAGGAACACCAGUGGCGAAGGCGGCCGUCUGGGCCAAUACUGACGCUGAGGCACGAAAGCGUGGGGAGCGAACAGGAUAAGAUA
Molecule: ribosomal RNA, 279 nt
Filed under: uncultured bacterium
Lineage: Bacteria
Description: partial 16S ribosomal RNA
Rfam family: Bacterial small subunit ribosomal RNA
Source: RNAcentral